This 1393-nucleotide ribosomal RNA is filed under the name uncultured marine bacterium. Its description in RNAcentral is "bacterial SSU rRNA". It matches the Rfam family "Bacterial small subunit ribosomal RNA". The record is from RNAcentral.
AACGUACGCUGGCGGCACGCCUAACACAUGCAAGUCGAACGAAGUAGCAAUACUUAGUGGCAGACGGGUGAGUAACAUGUAGGUAUCUACCCUUUGGCCUGGAAUAACACGAGGAAACUUGUGCUAAUACCGGAUAAGUCUUUACGGAGAAAGCUUUAUGCACCAUUGGAUGAGCCUGCACUUGAUUAGUUUGUUGGUGGGGUAAUGGCCUACCAAGACUGUGAUCAAUAGCUGAUUUGAGAGGAUGAUCAGCCACAUUGGGACUGAGACACGGCCCAAACUCCUACGGGAGGCAGCAGUGGGGAAUCUUGCACAAUGGAGGAAACUCUGAUGCAGCGAUGCCGCGUGAGUGAAGAAGGCCUUUGGGUUGUAAAGCUCUUUCGUCGGGGAAGAAAAUGACUGUACCCGAAUAAGAAGGUCCGGCUAACUUCGUGCCAGCAGCCGCGGUAAUACGAAGGGACCUAGCGUAGUUCGGAAUUACUGGGCUUAAAGAGUUCGUAGGUGGUUGAAAAAGUUGGUGGUGAAAUCCCAGAGCUUAACUCUGGAACUGCCAUCAAAACUUUUCAGCUAGAGUAUGAUAGAGGAAAGCAGAAUUUCUAGUGUAGAGGUGAAAUUCGUAGAUAUUAGAAAGAAUACCAAUUGCGAAGCAGCUUUCUGGAUCAUUACUGACACUGAGGACGAAAGCAUGGGUAGCGAAGAGGAUUAGAUACCCUCGUAGUCCAUGCCGUAAACGAUGUGUGUUAGACGUUGGAAAUUUAUUUCAGUGUCGCAGCGAAAGCGAUAAACACACCGCCUGGGGAGUACGACCGCAAGGUUAAACUCAAAUGAAUUGACGGGGACCCGCACAAGUAGUGGAGCAUGUGGUUUAAUUCGAAGAUACGCGCAGAACCUUACCAACACUUGACAUGUUCGUCGCGACUUUAAGAGAUUAAAGUUUUCGGUUCGGCCGGACGAAACACAGGUGCUGCAUGGCUGUCGUCAGCUCGUGUCGUGAGAUGUUGGGUUAAGUCCCGCAACGAGCGCAACCCUCACUUUUAGUUGCCAUCAUUUAGUUGGGCACUCUGAAAGAACUGCCAGUGAUAAGCUGGAGGAAGGUGGGGAUGACGUCAAGUCCUCAUGGCCCUUACGUGUUGGGCUACACACGUGCUACAAUGGUAUUUACAACAGGAAGCAAAACUGCGAAGUUAAGCAAAUCCUUAAAAGAUACCUCAGUUCGGAUUGCACUCUGCAACUCGAGUGCAUGAAGCUGGAAUUACUAGUAAUCGUGGAUCAGCGUGCCACGGUGAAUGCGUUCCCGGGUCUUGUACACACCGCCCGUCACACCAUGGGAGUUGGUUCUACCUUAAGGCAAGGUUUCAAACCCUUGACCACGGUAUAGUCAGCGACUGGGGUG